GGGGCGGGGAGUUUAUUGAGGCCUAAAGAUCCGUAGCCGGUUCUACAAGUCUUCCGUUAAAUCCACCUGCUUAACAGAUGGGCUGCGGAAGAUACUAUAGAGCUAGGAGGCGGGAGAGGCAAGCGGUACUCGAUGGGUAGGGGUAAAAUCCGUUGAUCCAUUGAAGACCACCAGUGGCGAAGGCGGCUUGCCAGAACGCGCUCGACGGUGAGGGAUGAAAGCUGGGGGAGCAAACCGGAUUAGAUACCCGGGUAGUCCCAGCUGUAAACGAUGCAGACUCGGUGAUGAAUUGGCUUAUUGCUAAUUCAGUGCCGCAGGGAAGCCGUUAAGUUUGCCGCCUGGGGAGUACGGUCGCAAGACUGAAACUUAAAGGAAUUGCGGGGGGGAGCACAAA
This 394-nucleotide ribosomal RNA is filed under the name uncultured archaeon. RNAcentral describes it as "bacterial SSU rRNA". It matches the Rfam family "Archaeal small subunit ribosomal RNA", at positions 488 to 882 of the family's 1478-position model. The record is from RNAcentral.